AUGCUAGACAGUACCCAAAGAAGUGAAAGCAUGAAUAAUGAACUAAAGCGGUACAUUAGUAUUAAAUAUGAGAUGCUUACUUUUUUUGAGCAUUUUGAGCGGCUCGUUGCGGAUAAAAGAUUUAUAGAGGUGAAGUGUGACUUCAAGGCGUCACAAACUACUCCCAAGAUGAAGGCGGAAGGUAGCUAUGUAUUAAGGCAAGCUGCAACUACAUAUACUCCCGCAAUAUUCAAGAUGUUUCAGGAGCAAGUGCUUCGGACCCUGAACUAUGACACAUUUCUUUGUGAUAAUAGUGAUAAAGAGAUGAAGGUUUAUACAGUAAAAUUUCAUGGCACGCAACGUGAGCAUGUUGUCAGAUUUUAUCCGAACGAAGAAAGAGUCAAUUGCAGUUUU
This 393-nucleotide ribosomal RNA is filed under the name Triticum aestivum (bread wheat). Its description in RNAcentral is "partial small subunit ribosomal RNA". Lineage: Eukaryota; Viridiplantae; Streptophyta; Magnoliopsida; Poales; Poaceae. The record is from RNAcentral.